RNAcentral lists this ribosomal RNA (301 nucleotides) under uncultured bacterium. RNAcentral's name for it is "partial 16S ribosomal RNA". It matches the Rfam family "Bacterial small subunit ribosomal RNA", at positions 509 to 807 of the family's 1533-position model. The record is from RNAcentral.
CAGUAGCCGCGGUAACACCGAGGGUGCAAGCGUUAAUCGGAAUUACUGGGCGUAAAGCGCGCGUAGGUGGUUUGUUAAGUUGGAUGUGAAAGCCCCGGGCUCAACCUGGGAACUGCAUCCAAAACUGGCAAGCUAGAGUACGGUAGAGGGUGGUGGAAUUUCCUGUGUAGCGGUGAAAUGCGUAGAUAUAGGAAGGAACACCAGUGGCGAAGGCGACCACCUGGACUGAUACUGACACUGAGGUGCGAAAGCGUGGGGAGCAAACAGGAUUAGAUACCCCCGUAGUCCCUGUCUCUUAUAC